Molecule: ribosomal RNA, 876 nt
Filed under: uncultured archaeon
Lineage: Archaea
Description: bacterial SSU rRNA
Rfam family: Archaeal small subunit ribosomal RNA
Source: RNAcentral
UUCCGGUUGAUCCUGCCGGAGGCCAUUGCUAUCGGAGUUCGAUUUAGCCAUGCUAGUCGCACGAGUUCAUACUCGUGGCAGAUAGCUCAGUGACACGUGGCCAAACUACCCUAUGGACAGGCAUAACCUCGGGAAACUGAGGCCAAUACCUGAUACCGCUUCCCUCCUGGAAUGGGAGAAGCACCAAACGUUACGGCGCCAUAGGAUGUGGCUGCGGCCGAUUAGGUAGACGGUGAGGUAACGGCUCACCGUGCCCAUAAUCGGUACGGGUUGUGAGAGCAAGAGCCCGGAGACGGUAUCUGAGACAAGAUACCGGGCCCUACGGGGCGCAGCAGGCGCGAAAACUUUACACUGCACGACAGUGCGAUAAGGGAACUCCGAGUGCGAGGGCAUAUCGUCCUCGCUUUUCUGUACCGUAGGAAGGUACAAGAAUAAGGGCUGGGCAAGACCGGUGCCAGCCGCCGCGGUAACACCGGCAGCCCAAGUGAUGGCCGAUAUUAUUGGGCCUAAAGCGUCCGUAGCCAGCUGAACAGGUCCGUUGGGAAAUCUGCUCGCUCAACGAGCAGGCGUCCGGCGGAAACCAGUCAGCUUGGGACCGAGAGGACCGAAGGGUACGUCCGGGGUAGGAGUGAAAUCCCGUAAUCCUGGACGGACCACCGAUGGCGAAAGCACUUCGGUAGAUCGGAUCCGACGGUGAGGGACGAAAGCUAGGGUCACGAACCGGAUUAGAUACCCGGGUAGUCCUAGCCGUAAACGAUGCUCGUUAGGUGUGGCACUGGCUACGAGCCAGUGCCGUGCCGCAGUGAAGACGAUAAACGAGCCGCCUGGGAAGUACGUCCGCAAGGAUGAAACUUAAAGGAAUUGGCGGGGGAGCAC